RNAcentral lists this small RNA (78 nucleotides) under Leminorella grimontii. RNAcentral's name for it is "isrK Hfq binding RNA". It matches the Rfam family "isrK Hfq binding RNA". Lineage: Bacteria; Pseudomonadati; Pseudomonadota; Gammaproteobacteria; Enterobacterales; Budviciaceae. The record is from RNAcentral.
GCGCCUGCAAAAUCAGGCGCCGGGUUUAGCAUCCUGACUAAUCUUAUCGGCGACAUACGACGCGUCAGCGUCUUUUUU